RNAcentral lists this ribosomal RNA (1063 nucleotides) under human gut metagenome. RNAcentral describes it as "bacterial SSU rRNA". It matches the Rfam family "Bacterial small subunit ribosomal RNA", at positions 73 to 1154 of the family's 1533-position model. The record is from RNAcentral.
CAUCAAGCUGCUGGUGGUGAGAGUGCNGAACGGUGAGUAUGCGUGACCGACCUGCCCCAUACACNGGAUNAGCUCUGGAAACGGGUGGUAAUGCCGGAUGCUCCAGUUGAUCGCAUGUCCUUCUGGGGAAGCUUUCGCGUAUGGGAAUGGGGUCGCGUCCUAUCAGCUGACGGGCGGGGUAACGGCCCACGUGGGCUUCGACGGUAGCCCGNCCUGAGAGGGCGACCGGCCACAUUGGACUGAGAUACGGCCCAGACUCCUACGGGAGGCAGCAGUGGGGAAUAUGNCACAAUGGGCGCAAGCCUGAUGCAGCGACGCCGCGUGAGGGAUGGAGGCCUUCGGGUUGUAAACCUCUUUUAUCGGGGAGCAAGCGAGAGUGAGUUUACCCGUUGAAUAAGCACCGGCUAACUACGUGCCAGCAGCCGCGGUAAUACGUAGGGUGCAAGCGUUAUCCGGAAUUAUUGGGCGUAAAGGGCUCGUAGGCGGUUCGUCGCGUCCGGUGUGAAAGUCCAUCGCUUAACGGUGGAUCCGCGCCGGGUACGGGCGGGCUUGAGUGCGGUAGGGGAGACUGGAAUUCCCGGUGUAACGGUGGAAUGUGUAGAUAUCGGGAAGAACACCAAUGGCGAAGGCAGGUCUCUGGGCCGUUACUGACGCUGAGGAGCGAAAGCGUGGGGAGCGAACAGGAUUAGAUACCCUGGUAGUCCACGCCGUAAACGGUGGAUGCUGGAUGUGGGGCCCGUUCCACGGGUUCCGUGUCGGAGCUAACGCGUUAAGCAUCCCGCCUGGGGAGUACGGCCGCAAGGCUAAAACUCAAAGAAAUUGACGGGGGCCCGCACAAGCGGCGGAGCAUGCGGAUUAAUUCGAUGCAACGCGAAGAACCUUACCUGGGCUUGACAUGUUCCCGACGGUCGUAGAGAUACGGCUUCCCUUCGGGGCGGGUUCACAGGUGGUGCAUGGUCGUCGUCAGCUCGUGUCGUGAGAUGUUGGGUUAAGUCCCGCAACGAGCGCAACCCUCGCCCCGUGUUGCCAGCGGAUUAUGCCGGGAACUCACGGGGGACCGCCG